This is a long non-coding RNA of Syngnathus typhle (broad-nosed pipefish), 415 nucleotides long. RefSeq lists it as uncharacterized. The transcript has 3 exons. Lineage: Eukaryota; Metazoa; Chordata; Actinopteri; Syngnathiformes; Syngnathidae. The record is from RefSeq and is a predicted model, not a curated record.
GGAGAAAUUAAGGUCCUCACAUGGCGCGAAACCAACUUUUUCCAUGUCAAACUUGGACAGCGGCUGUCCAUGACACACAUGACAACAUCAUCUUCUAGUGGCGUGGAGCUCCACUCCACAGAAAAUACUGUAAUAAAGGAACUGGAAGAAGAGCCCUUUCGCUUUGUGGCCUUUAAAAUCAAAGGUGAACAGGUGGAGUUUGUGGACGCCACCAAUGCCACCAGAAUGGUUCCAUUAGAGGAGUGGAACCAAAAAUUCCCCGAUGGCCCUAAUCUUCCCCUAGAGGGGUUUUUGUGAGACUACCCUCAGAGGCCGGCCUCUUCGACCUGCGACCAGAGAUGCUGGCGUGGCUCCACGACACCAAGUUGGAACUCUGACGUUACACGUGAGAGAGAGAGAGAGAGAGGCAACGUCA